UCUCUCUGAAUCUGCGAACGGCUCCGCAAACCAGUUGUAAACUAUGGCGAGCAAACCCUCGGGCCUCGGCCUGGGGGUGAUAAGGAUAACCCUGGUAAUUCUGAGGCUAAUACUCGACCGUACAAUCUGGCCGACCGGCAACGGGAAGCUGGAGGACGUGUGUUUUAUCGCAGAUGCGCCGGGAAAGGAUGCACGUUCAGACCGCCAUACAAACGGUAUCGGGUGGAACCGUCUCUCCUCCGGGGGGGGCGGGGAAGCUCGUGUCCGGGCGGCUCUCGCAAUGUGCUUCUGACCUAUCAACUAGAUGGCAGUGUAAGGGACAUGCUAUGGUUACAACGGGUACAGAGGAUAAGGGUUCGAUCCUGGAGAGUGGGCCUGAGAGAUU
RNAcentral lists this ribosomal RNA (385 nucleotides) under Nannengaella conglomerata. RNAcentral's name for it is "SSU rRNA". It matches the Rfam family "Eukaryotic small subunit ribosomal RNA", at positions 76 to 405 of the family's 1831-position model. The record is from RNAcentral. Lineage: Eukaryota; Evosea; Eumycetozoa; Physariida; Physaraceae.